GAAAAAGUAAAAAGCUCUCUCUGCCCACGUAACGUUCACAUCCACAGAGAGAGACUAGUAGACCUGUGAGCGUCUCUCUCUCUCUCUCUCUCUCUCUCUUUCUGCAAUCUGAAAAUAUAAGUACGAAAGGCUCUCUCUUUCUCUCUCAUACACUUCACACCUUAGCUAAAAUUUCACAGACUGUGAUUGCACACAAUGCCAAUGGCUGCUGAUUCGGCCAAUGAGGGGGGACAAAACAACCGGGGCAUCCAGGAUGGUAUUUGCAGCUUACCUGUCAGCUGUUCAUGUUUCAAGCUACUAAAUCAAAGUUUUGAUGAGGUCAACCAGCACUGUUCUAUAGAUAUUUUGCCAAUUCUGCUUGAGGGGGCUUCAUUUCCAGCAAGACUAAGUUGCCCACUGCACAAUUCACAUGGCCAAGAUGUCUACAGCAUUUCAGUGCUGUCUGGUGAAGGGAAGAGUCCACAAUGUGCUUCAGAGUUGGCAUUUCUAAGCUUUUUGGAAGUUGCUAAUCUAUCUAAAAAUCAGAUGUGCUUGGAUGCACAAUUGAAUUGCCAAAAUUGCAUUGAUUUGCCAGUGAAAAGUGCUGAUCCUCUUUCCCCAUGCAUUGUCGAUUUAAAUAUUGAAAAGGAAUAUUCAAAAACACCUGAAUCCAAUGAUGAAGCUGUUGAAAGUUUGAAAAGUGAAGGUGCACUAACUCAUUUGCAGAGGGUGUUGUGGAGACAAGCAAGCCAUACAAUAGGUGGAAAACUAAUGCAGCUUUUCAUGAAUGUUGGCACUUCAAGAGAUAAAUCAGUGAGUGAAAGGGCCCAUGAUACUGCAAAUAAUCGAUGGAGAAGAUAUAAGCGUUCUACCUCAUUUGAUUCAAGAAAGAUCGUUCUCCUAUUUUCAAUCAUGUAAGCUGCAGAUCCUCAACGAAUUGAUGAUAGUGACAGUAGGGAAAGUACUGCUUUCCAAUGAUAUAUGCUUUAUAUCCAUGCUCUGGUUUGAGCCUCCAUCAUUUCAUAUUGACAUAAUUAUGAACUCUGAAUGUUCCAGAAUAAUUAUCAUGAUACAUUUUCAACUUAGAACUUGUUGGAAAUGCUUGCUUUAGAAUUAGGAGGACCCAGACAUAAUUUGCUGUAUGAUAUUAAUGAUCAAGGUGGGAAAAGCAUGUGAAUGGGUUGUUGGCUUGGUGUCAAUUAUAAUUAUAGGAUUUUACUCCACUAAACACUUGGGAUUUAAAGCAUACAAAACGGCUUUUCAUUUAAGAUUUUAGACUACAUGCCGGUAUCGCUGGCAUUCUCACUAGAGGGCCCUGCAGUUUCAAGUUUCAAGCCCUUCACCCAGCCACACAUUCCAUAUUAACCAAACAGGUAAAGGAGGUGUUCUUUGCACAGAUGGGUUUAUUUGCUUGAUGGGGAGCACUUUUUACUGAACUUAAUACCAGCUGCUGGCAAGGUCAAGUUUGGGAACAUUGGUGCUGAUAUAUCUGACAUUGAAAGUUAGGCAGAGUGGUGAUAAUUAUGUUCAUGUCUGAUUGUUCAACCUGCUUUUGUGUAGUUCUCUUCAGAACUACAGUUGAAGAUCUCUUGCCCACAAUGUUAACAUGAAACUGUUUUUGGAUGUCCUCUGUACAUAAGUAGUAACUAUCACUCACAAUUCUCUAUCAUUCACAAUUCUACUAAAUUUUCUGUAAUAUGCAACUAUCACAGCUUAUCUCAGUGUUCAUAUUUCAGCAAUAAGGGCACCGUGCUAUGCAUAUCUGAUGGGGAAUUAUUAUGUCAAUGAACUAGUAUGCAACAACUAGCAUGCCA
RNA transcript from Quercus robur (English oak), 1793 nucleotides. RefSeq lists it as uncharacterized. The record is from RefSeq and is a predicted model, not a curated record. The transcript has 8 exons. NCBI's taxonomy places the organism in Eukaryota, Viridiplantae, Streptophyta, Magnoliopsida, Fagales, Fagaceae.